UUGAUCCAACAUCAAGUGACCUUUUUCAUAAUUAAAAUCAAAAAACAAUAAAAAUACGAUUAGUAUUGUACACCACGAGCCUUAAGUGGUGAGGAAUGAGUAAGGAUAGAGCUCUCAUACCUUUACUCUGAUUAUUUUUAACACAAGAUGCUUGACUUGUUUGUCUAGAAUAUUCAUCUCCGUCCACAGACUUUAGUGCAAUCUAUCACAAAAAAUC
This 217-nucleotide long non-coding RNA is filed under the name Lathyrus oleraceus (garden pea). RNAcentral describes it as "Pisum sativum (pea) long non-coding RNA (PSAT_LNC015017)". The record is from RNAcentral. Lineage: Eukaryota; Viridiplantae; Streptophyta; Magnoliopsida; Fabales; Fabaceae.